GAUGAACGCUGGCGGCGUGCCUAAUACAUGCAAGUCGAGCGAACGGACGAGAAGCUUGCUUUUCUGAUGUUAGCGGCGGACGGGUGAGUAACACGUGGAUAACCUACCUAUAAGACUGGGAUAACUUCGGGAAACCGGAGCUAAUACCGGAUAAUAUUUUGAACCGCAUGGUUCAAAAGUGAAAGACGGUCUUGCUGUCACUUAUAGAUGGAUCCGCGCUGCAUUAGCUAGUUGGUAAGGUAACGGCUUACCAAGGCAACGAUGCAUAGCCGACCUGAGAGGGUGACCGGCCACACUGGAACUGAGACACGGUCCAGACUCCUACGGGAGGCAGCAGUAGGGAAUCUUACGCAAUGGGCGAAAGCCUGACGGAGCAACGCCGAGUGAGUGAUGAAGGUCCUCGGAUCGUAAAACUCUGUUAUUAGGGAAGAACAUAUGUGUAAGUAACUGUGCACAUCUUGACGGUACCUAAUCAGAAAGCCACGGCUAACUACGUG
This 497-nucleotide ribosomal RNA is filed under the name uncultured bacterium. Its description in RNAcentral is "partial 16S ribosomal RNA". It matches the Rfam family "Bacterial small subunit ribosomal RNA", at positions 28 to 507 of the family's 1533-position model. The record is from RNAcentral.